Molecule: ribosomal RNA, 810 nt
Filed under: Streptococcus sanguinis
Lineage: Bacteria; Bacillati; Bacillota; Bacilli; Lactobacillales; Streptococcaceae
Description: bacterial SSU rRNA
Rfam family: Bacterial small subunit ribosomal RNA
Source: RNAcentral
CUUGGAUGAGUUGCGAACGGGUGAGUAACGCGUAGGUAACCUGCCUGGUAGCGGGGGAUAACUAUUGGAAACGAUAGCUAAUACCGCAUGAAAUUGCUUAUCGCAUGAUAAUUAAUUGAAAGAUGCAAUUGCAUCACUACCAGAUGGACCUGCGUUGUAUUAGCUAGUUGGUGAGGUAACGGCUCACCAAGGCGACGAUACAUAGCCGACCUGAGAGGGUGAUCGGCCACACUGGGACUGAGACACGGCCCAGACUCCUACGGGAGGCAGCAGUAGGGAAUCUUCGGCAAUGGGGGGAACCCUGACCGAGCAACGCCGCGUGAGUGAAGAAGGUUUUCGGAUCGUAAAGCUCUGUUGUAAGAGAAGAACGGGUGUGAGAGUGGAAAGUUCACACUGUGACGGUAUCUUACCAGAAAGGGACGGCUAACUACGUGCCAGCAGCCGCGGUAAUACGUAGGUCCCGAGCGUUGUCCGGAUUUAUUGGGCGUAAAGCGAGCGCAGGCGGUUAGAUAAGUCUGAAGUUAAAGGCUGUGGCUUAACCAUAGUAUGCUUUGGAAACUGUUUAACUUGAGUGCAGAAGGGGAGAGUGGAAUUCCAUGUGUAGCGGUGAAAUGCGUAGAUAUAUGGAGGAACACCGGUGGCGAAAGCGGCUCUCUGGUCUGUAACUGACGCUGAGGCUCGAAAGCGUGGGGAGCAAACAGGAUUAGAUACCCUGGUAGUCCACGCCGUAAACGAUGAGUGCUAGGUGUUAGGCCCUUUCCGGGGCUUAGUGCCGCAGCUAACGCGUUAAGCACUCCGCCUGGGGAGUAC